AUGAAGGAGGCCCGCGCCCGCCACGGCGAGGGGUCGCCGCUCCUCCCCCGCGCCCACGGCACCGUCCACUCCCGCGCCGCCGCCGUCCUCACCGACCCCGCCGCGCGCCGCGCCAUCGACCUCGCGCCCGACUCCCUCGAGCUCGCCCACUUCCGCGCCCUCCUCCUCUAUGAGGCCGCCAGCGACAACCGCGCCUACGAGGAGGCCCUUGCCGAGUGCGAGCGCGGGCUCAGGAUCGACGACCCCUCCGACCCGGAGCCCGACUCGCUCAGGCUACCCGCUCCCGACCCCGACCAGCUCCGGGCCGAGCUCCGCAACCUCGUCCAGAAGGCCAAUCUCGCAUCCAUAUCCACCUGGGUCAAGAACCUCGCGCCCGGAUCCGGCCGCGGGACGUCCGGCCACUCCGGAUCCGGUCUCCUCCUCGCCGCACGGGCCUCCUCCUUGCCGGAGUGA
RNAcentral lists this ribosomal RNA (453 nucleotides) under Triticum aestivum (bread wheat). RNAcentral's name for it is "partial small subunit ribosomal RNA". The record is from RNAcentral. Lineage: Eukaryota; Viridiplantae; Streptophyta; Magnoliopsida; Poales; Poaceae.